This 317-nucleotide small RNA is filed under the name Pan troglodytes (chimpanzee). RNAcentral describes it as "processed transcript". Lineage: Eukaryota; Metazoa; Chordata; Mammalia; Primates; Hominidae. The record is from RNAcentral. RNAcentral also lists the same sequence under 1 other name.
CCAGCCGUGGCCCCACCUCGGUAUUAACUGGCACACACAAGGCGGCUACUGGUUCUCGGCCCAAGUGUGGCCUGCUCCUACCUCUCCACUCCAGGGCUGAUUUGUGGGCAGAUUCAAGUCUCGCAAAGAGCGGGAAGCUGAGCUUGGAGCCAAAGCCAAGGAAUUCACCAAUGUUUAUAUCAAAAACUUUGGGGAAGAGGUGGAUGAUGAGAGUCUGAAAGAGCUAUUCAGUCAGUUUGGCUGUGGAAGAGAUGAAUGGAAAAGAAAUAAGUGGUAAAAUCAUAUUUGUAGGCCGUGCACAAAAGAAAGUAGAACGG